CAGCCGUAAACUAUGCGCGUUAGGUGUAUCGGUGACCACGAGUUACCGAGGUGCCGAAGGGAAACCGUGAAACGUGCCGCCUGGGAAGUACGGUCGCAAGGCUGAAACUUAAAGGAAUUGGGCGGGGGAGCACCACAACAGGUGGAGCCUGCGGUUUAAUUGGACUCAACGCCGGGAAGCUCACCGGAUAGGACAGCAGAAUGAUUGCCGGGCUGAAGACCCUGCAUGACUAGCUGAGAGGAGGUGCAUGGCGUCAGUGACU
RNAcentral lists this ribosomal RNA (262 nucleotides) under uncultured archaeon. RNAcentral's name for it is "partial 16S ribosomal RNA". It matches the Rfam family "Archaeal small subunit ribosomal RNA", at positions 748 to 1008 of the family's 1478-position model. The record is from RNAcentral.